RNAcentral lists this ribosomal RNA (467 nucleotides) under uncultured bacterium. RNAcentral's name for it is "bacterial SSU rRNA". It matches the Rfam family "Bacterial small subunit ribosomal RNA", at positions 330 to 793 of the family's 1533-position model. The record is from RNAcentral.
CCCAGACUCCUACGGGAGGCAGCAGUGAGGAAUAUUGGUCAAUGGGCGCAAGCCUGAACCGGCCAAGUCGCGUGAGGGAAGACGGCCCUACGGGUUGUAAACCUCUUUUGCCGGGGAGCAAGCCUGAGCACGUGUGCCCAGGCGGAGAGUACCCGGAGAAAAAGCAUCGGCUAACUCCGUGCCAGCAGCCGCGGUAAUACGUAGGGUGCGAGCGUUAAUCGGAAUUACUGGGCGUAAAGGGUGUGCAGGCGGCUGAGUAAGACAGAUGUGAAAUCCCCGGGCUUAACCUGGGAACCGCAUAUGUGACUGCUUGGCUAGAGUGCGUCAGAGGGAGGUGGAAUUCCACGUGUAGCAGUGAAAUGCGUAGAUAUGUGGAAGAACACCGAUGGCGAAGGCAGCCUCCUGGGACGCAACUGACGCUCAUACACGAAAGCGUGGGGAGCAAACAGGAUUAGAUACCCGAGUAC